RNAcentral lists this ribosomal RNA (99 nucleotides) under uncultured Acaulospora. RNAcentral describes it as "partial 18S ribosomal RNA". It matches the Rfam family "Eukaryotic small subunit ribosomal RNA", at positions 1730 to 1831 of the family's 1831-position model. Lineage: Eukaryota; Fungi; Glomeromycota; Glomeromycetes; Diversisporales; Acaulosporaceae. The record is from RNAcentral.
UGAGCCGAACGUCUCUCUCUUGAGAAGUUGUCAACUUGGUCAUCUAGAGGAAGUAAAGUCGUACAAGGUUUCCGUAGGUGAACCUGCGGAGGAUCAUUA